GACGAACGCUGGCGGCGUGCCUAAUACAUGCAAGUCGAACGCAGUGGGGACGGGUGAGUAACACGUUGGUAACCUCCCAUCAGAGGGGAUAACACUUGGAAACAAGUGCUACCCCGAUACUGCUGGAUGGACCCGCUGUGCAUUAGCUAGUUGGUGAGUUAACGGCUCACCAAGGCAACGCUGCCUAGCCGACCUGGGAGGGUGAUCGGCCAGACUGGGACUGAGACACGGCCCAGACGCCUACGGGAGGCAGCAGUAGGGAAUCUUCGGCAAUGGACGAAAGUCUGACCGAGCAACGCCGCGUGAGUGAAGAAGGUUUUCGGAUCGUAAAACUCUGUUGUUAGAGAAGCGGUAUCUAACCAGAAAGCCACGGCUAACUACGUGCCAGCAGCCGCGGUAAUUC
This 403-nucleotide ribosomal RNA is filed under the name uncultured bacterium. RNAcentral describes it as "partial 16S ribosomal RNA". It matches the Rfam family "Bacterial small subunit ribosomal RNA", at positions 28 to 526 of the family's 1533-position model. The record is from RNAcentral.